UAAUUUGAUAUCUGUGACUUGUACUGAAGAAACUAUUACACAUUGAAGCAAGGAAAGAUGAGGAAGUGUGCUGCUGAUGAUGAUGCUGCCGCUGCAUUUGUUGUUGAUAUGGAUGUUGAUGUUGUUGGGACCACGCUCAUGCAGAAGACUGCAUCUUAUUUUUCUCCUUUGUCUAUAUUUCUUUUUCUAAACGUUCCCUUUUCUAGCAGUAUAUAUAGUGUUGUAGACGUUCCUGGUAGCAUUGGCGGAGGAGGCUGCACAUGGAGAGAGUGGUGAGUUUGAAAGGGACUACCCCUGCAACGCUCUUGGAAUGUACGAGGAAACAAAUGAGGCACCGAAUAGCAAAAAAAGGUAACUCACGAACUCUCCGCAUUGCGCUUUGGUGCAUGCUCCUCCCCCACCCUCCUCUUGCUUUCAUUCUCUCGUUCUCUCGCCCUCGCUCUCGCUCUCUCUCUGACUUCUCUCCUACUCGCUUGCUUGCUUCCCCCAUUAGACUCUGCAUCGCCUUUCAUCCUACAUGUGCAUUUUGUUUCCAUUAUUUUAUCCCGUAUAUCAUCAUUCCUUGUUGGCCCGGAGGAGAAGACUUAAGCAUUACACACAAGUUGAGUGAGCAGACCUCAGUUACUUCUCAUGCAUUCUUUGAACUCUUACAUCUCAAUGAUAAUAACAGAG
RNAcentral lists this long non-coding RNA (672 nucleotides) under Physcomitrium patens. RNAcentral describes it as "long non-coding RNA (PPAT_LNC003940)". The record is from RNAcentral. Lineage: Eukaryota; Viridiplantae; Streptophyta; Bryopsida; Funariales; Funariaceae.